Molecule: long non-coding RNA, 426 nt
Organism: Oncorhynchus tshawytscha (Chinook salmon)
Lineage: Eukaryota; Metazoa; Chordata; Actinopteri; Salmoniformes; Salmonidae
Source: Ensembl
UGGGAUAGAUUUCCCUCUAGGUCCAGAGUAGUUGGUGGUCUCAUUUGGGAUAGAUUUCCCUCUAGGUCCAGAGUAGUUGGUGGUCUCAUUUGGGAUAGAUUUCCCUCUAGGUCCAGAGUAGUUGGUGGUCUCAUUUGAGAUGGAUUUCCCUCUAGGUCCAGAGUAGUUGGUGGUCUCAUUUGAGAUGGAUUUCCCUCUAGGUCCAGAGUAGUUGGUGGUCUCAUUUGAGAUGGAUUUCCCUCUAGGUUCAGAGUAGUUGGUGGUCUCAUUUGGGAUAGAUUUCCCUCUUGUAAAAGUUGUGACUGUCUGCAGGGAAGUCAGGCGCAGGAGAGCAGAACUGGGUAAUAACCGGAGCAGUUUAAUAAGGCAAAACAAACUGCACCCAGAACAACAACAUACAGGUUGAAAUAACCUGUGGAAAACCAG